This 292-nucleotide ribosomal RNA is filed under the name uncultured bacterium. RNAcentral describes it as "partial 16S ribosomal RNA". It matches the Rfam family "Bacterial small subunit ribosomal RNA", at positions 505 to 796 of the family's 1533-position model. The record is from RNAcentral.
GUGUCAGCAGCCGCGGUAAUACGUAGGUGGCAAGCGUUGUCCGGAUUUACUGGGCGUAAAGAGCGCGCAGGCGGUCGGAUCAGUCGAAUGUGAAAGCCCCCGGCUCAACUGGGGAGGGUCAUUCGAUACUGUCCGACUCGAAGGCAGGAGAGGGAAGCGGAAUUCCCGGUGUAGUGGUGAAAUGCGUAGAUAUCGGGAGGAACACCAGUGGCGAAGGCGGCUUUCUGGCCUGUUCUUGACGCUGAGGCGCGAAAGCUAGGGGAGCGAACGGGAUUAGAAACCCCCGUAGUCC